GCAUCACUGUGUGCGGGUCACGCGCGCGCCUACUUACUUUCCUACUGUCGCGCCCUGACACGGGACUUUUCUUGAGCAGUGCGGCCUGGCACACCAGCUGCCUGCUGUGUACUUUUCCUUUAGGUGGGAUAUGAGCGGAAAGUCCAGGUGGUCGCGGGCAGGGAUCACUUCAUCCGAACCCUCAGCCUCAAGCCAUUGCUCUUCGAAAUCCCAGGCUUCCUGAGUGACGAGGAGUGCCGCCUUAUCAUCCACCUGGCACAGAUGAAAGGGUUACAGCGAAGCCAGAUCCUGCCUACUGAGGAGUAUGAGGAGGCCAUGAGCGCCAUGCGAGUCAGCCAGCUGGACCUCUUCCAGCUGUUGGAUCAGAACCACGACGGUCGCC
This 382-nucleotide long non-coding RNA is filed under the name Rattus norvegicus (Norway rat). RNAcentral describes it as "long non-coding RNA NONRATT028994". Lineage: Eukaryota; Metazoa; Chordata; Mammalia; Rodentia; Muridae. The record is from RNAcentral.